UAUCUUCUGUCUUGCCCUCUGCAGGACACAAGGUGAGGUAGAACAUGGCCCUCCGGAACUUGAGGGUCUGUAGACUUCUGGCACUGGGCUCUCCUAGUUUUCACUCCCCACCCUCACCCCCCGGCACCUCCCACUACUGCCCAGUCUUUCCAAGGCCCUGGCUCUGGUCCCCCUAGCCAGGCCCAACACUGGAAGGGGCUGUGCCCUUCCUCUGCCCACACAGCCUAGUGGGCGGUCCCCGCCUCGCCCUGCAUUUGGGCUAGUGUGCAGCUCCAAGGGCACUGGUGCAUGCACAUCUGGGGCUCGGACAAAGGAAAGGGUGGACAGGACACCUGGGGCCCAUUCCUCACCCGUGUCGUGCAUCCUUGACCACCCUCCCUGCCCGGGACAUUGUGGAGGCUCUGGGAGUCUACCUCCUCCUCCACGGUGGACCUCAGGCUCCAGGACACCAGCCAGUGUAGACAUUACCUGGUCCUUUGAUCUGGGGGGCCUGGUCGGGCUCCUGCUUCCUUUGAACACAGCCGGUGGUGCCAGCUUGGAUCAAAGCCCUUGGGGGGUCUGAAGGAGAUGAAGCCCCCUGGAACUGCAUGCCCUCUGCUCCUGUGAGAUGUCUUCUUAGCGGUUCACAAGCCUCCUCUCAGAUUCGAGCUCCCUCUUUUUGGCUGAGCUCUCUGACUUUAUUCAGGAUCUGUUUUCCUGAAGGCAUUGUCCUUUUGGGGUGAAUAAACCAUUACAAGAAGAUUAAAACGCAUUGAAAGACCGGCCUGUUGUUACUGUGAGAAGUCAGGACACUGAAAAAAAGGCUGCUAUAAACUAAAUGGUCCAGGAGUCUUCAGUCACCCAACCAAUCUUUCCAAUGUCCUUCCACAUCCCAAUGAUGGGACUCCGAGGAAUCACAGGGGCUUUCCCCAACCCUUCUCCAGGCUGGGAAUGACUUUCCACUGGGGCUACUAUUAAACAGCCCCUGCUUCAGAAUACUGAAAUGAUUCAUAUAGUGGGGAUCUCUGAUAAACGUCAACAAGUCAAGAGAAAAAAAACCAUUGCAUCAAAAAUGCUUAGUGCCCUUUGAACAAGACCGAACAGACUGGUGAUGACAAAGUGAGAGAGCAGGUUGGCACCCUGUUGAAAGUGUUGCAUAUCGUGAAUUUUAACACCAGUGUGCAGACUUUAAAGUUGCUUUUCUCCCAAGUAAUGAAUUCUCCACAGAUGAUAGCAGACCAAAAUUAUGCAGCAUUGCGUGGAAGACGUUGAUCCAGGGAUGAUGUUUAUUCCUAAAAUACAGCCCAGGAAAAUCUGUCCUCACUGCUUCUAGGCACUUUACGUUGCCUGAUGGACCAUGCGAGCCUUGGCGAAUGGAUUUCAUACGGCUUCCCCCACCUCACGGGCGUAAAUACGUCUCGGCAACGAUUUGCAUGUUUUCUUUCUGGACUGAAGCUUCUCCAUGUAGACAGGCUACUGACUCCUCCGUGGCUAAGAACCUAUUGGAAAAGAUCAUUCCUACCUGAGGGAGCCGCCCCCAAACUUCAUAGCGAUAGGGGAACCCACUUUACUGGUCAAGUGUGACAAGAAGUCUGUGCCAUAUGGCCAGUUCUGCAACGUUUUCACCGCAGUUAUCAUCCCCAGUCUCCAGGACUAGUCGAAUGUACCAAUGGCAUCAUCAAAACCCAACAGGAAAAAUCUGUAGAGACCCUUCAGAUACCCUGGCCAAAAGCAUUGCCAUUGGUCCUUCUGAACCUUAGGGUCACUCCUUUCGGAACCCACAAACUAUGCUUAACCAUAUAUUAGAACAAUCUUUCCAUGGCAUGCUCCCAGGACAUGAAGACCUUAAGCACCAUACCUUACAACCUGGAGAGUUGUCUAUUGGAAAAGACAUCACUCUCUUCAACCCCACUGGAAAGGUCACUAUCAGGUACUGUUAACCAACCCUUGUGCCACGAAACUCCAAGGAAUAGGCUCUUGGAUCCAUAUAUCACAUCUAAAGAAAGCACCAAACCCUGACUGGACCUACAUCCCAACUGGUGACCUAAAAGUAAAGAUGUGCAAGAAUUGAAGCAUACAGUAGCUUAAGGAAACAGCUUUCCCAUGAUGACCGGCCUGUAUAUCUUUUCCUUACUCUUACUUCUUGCCUUAUCUUCUCCCUCUCUUUCUUGGAAAGACAAUGCUCUUACCCAUAUUUCCUAAUCCAUUGCCAAAGGGGGAAACCUUCUGACUGUUGAAUAUGUUACCAGAAACCUCGAUAUGUCCAUGACAGUGGUGACCCUCUGGUAUUAAGUCUGAUUGAUGUAACGAAAUAGCCCCUCUCUUUGCAGCCUUUAGGGACAAAAUCCACAGAACAGAAUGUUUUCUUCUUAAAUAUUCCCCAAACGUCAUUGACUCUUGGCUCUAAAGGACCAACUGGUAAAUUCCAGUUAGUGGCACUGUUAAUAAGUCUUAUGUGCACCACCUGGCUUUAGCCCUGUCUGUGGCAAAUGAAACUCUCAAUGAGCCUAUGAAUGUUUGGACAGCUGGUAAAUGGGAGGCCAGUGUUUGCUGGGAUAUUUAACCAUCCCUGUUAAUAUCUAUAAUAAAUCUGAAGCUUCCCACUGAUCUUCCCCAUUAUAUCUUCGUAAGCAUCUUAAAUGGGAACUACCUGGGGCAUACAUGACUCCGGGCUUGCCUCCAUAGCGAGAGGCUUUCCCCCUCGGGUCAAAGUUCCAAUGAGAAUAUGAACAUAAAUCUCUCCCUAACAUUAGAAGAGCUAGCUGAUUCUGCAGGCUGACAAUGAUCACUUGAUUCCUUGGCUAAAGUAGUUGUAGACAAGCAAUAGCCUUGAUUUUGAACCAGGUGGCAUUAGCAUAUACCACCUGUUGCAUAUGGGUAAACGCCUCUGGAGAAGUAGGAACUCAAUUAUACGAGAACAGGGAACAAGUGCACUUGCUAGUUGACUACUUUAGGAUCAUGACUUAAAGCCAUCAUACAAACAAAGUCAUAUUACUUUUAAUUUGCUUUGUAUAAUCUUAAAUUUUUGCACCUUUGCCUGCCCAACCUCUGCAGAAACUAUGCACCAAACAGAAUGUUGACUCAACACGAUGCUUUCAAGGAAAGAUUUUGAUCAAAAGGGGAAAAUGUGAAAAGGAACAAAGGAAACCUAAAUCAAAAUGGAGUCAGGAAGCCAUGAAGAGAGGGCUGUCACACACAAAUCACUCCCUGCCGCUUACAGAUCACAGCAGGAAGAAGGGUUUCCUUCUGACUCAGCAGCAAGAAGCUGCUCACCAGUUGCAGCUAACAAAAAAGAAAACUGCCACAGCCCUAUCCAGUUUCCUCCUAGAACCUAACGAAAGCUGACCUUCCCUUUGUCUCCUCUGACAUGCCUAUGGUUCACCAUAGUUUGUUUCUCUCAAAUUGUAAUUCCUCUGCUAUUCCUGAAUAAACUCAUUUUGGCUAGCUUAA
Non-coding RNA from Delphinapterus leucas (beluga whale), 3429 nucleotides. NCBI's taxonomy places the organism in Eukaryota, Metazoa, Chordata, Mammalia, Artiodactyla, Monodontidae. The record is from RefSeq and is a predicted model, not a curated record.